GACAGAGGGUGCAAACGUUGUUCGGAAUUACUGGGCGUAAAGCGCGUGUAGGCGGUUCGGAAAGUCGGGUGUGAAAGCCCCGGGCUCAACCUGGGAAUUGCAUUCGAGACUGAAUAGCUAGGGUACGGUAGAGGGAAGUGGAAUUUCCGGUGUAGCGGUGAAAUGCGUAGAUAUCGGAAGGAACAUCAGUGGCGAAAGCGACUUCCUGGACCAGUACCGACGUUCAGGCACGAAAGCGUGGGGAGCAAACAGG
RNAcentral lists this ribosomal RNA (253 nucleotides) under uncultured bacterium. Its description in RNAcentral is "partial 16S ribosomal RNA". It matches the Rfam family "Bacterial small subunit ribosomal RNA", at positions 524 to 776 of the family's 1533-position model. The record is from RNAcentral.